GAAGCUGGAGAGUUGAGGCCGUUCUCUAGAUUGUUUCAGAUUUGGAAAAUCUCUUGCCUGAAACAGCCGGGCAAGGAAAGGAAAGGGGCAUUUUUGGUCCAGGUAUGACGCAUUUCUUUUGAACAUACCUGGUUGAAAAUGAGAUAGUAAACACCCACCUGGACUGGGUGGGGCUUCUGUGGCACCUUCACUGAGAAACCAUUACCUCGAGGGAUGAUUUGGAAAGAAAACAUCACUGUUUCCCGGAAGGCCUGUGCUGGCUUGUCACGACCAGUUGUGGAUAGUCACUCCCGACAAAAACCCGCCUGUGUUCUAAAGCCUCGGCCUUCCUACAGCAAUAAUGCCAGCGAGCUCAAAGUUUGCCUUGAGAGUAAGAUGUUUAUCAGAUUGUAUAACUGCCUAUGAAUGACCUCACUCAGACCCUCAGGAAUGCCAAUGGCCCUGUUUAUAAUCCAGGUGGAGGAGAAGCUGAAGCCCCCAAUCUGGGGAGCAGACCCCGGAGCACCUGAAGAGGAAAUCCUGCCUGUCCCGUUCCCGUGGAGGGGGGCGGAUGACCCAGAAAUAAAGACCUCUUCCAUGGGGUUGUUUAUCCACCUCGGGAGCUAGGAAUGUUACCCCUACCCAACCCGCCUGCAGCUCCCCAAGCCCUUGGGCCCCGGGAUCUGGGGGCGAUGGGUGGGAAAAGGGAUGGGGAGCAUCUUCCCUGCCUCCAGUCCUUGGAUGCCAAGAGUCCUAGACCAGGGUUGGGGGAAGGGCAGCC
This is a long non-coding RNA of Ornithorhynchus anatinus (platypus), 760 nucleotides long. RefSeq lists it as uncharacterized. The transcript is spliced from 4 exons. Lineage: Eukaryota; Metazoa; Chordata; Mammalia; Monotremata; Ornithorhynchidae. The record is from RefSeq and is a predicted model, not a curated record.